AUAUGUGGCAAAUCCACAUUUCUGGAUGUUCCAUGAAAAAUAUAAAUAGGCUGCUUAGUGUGAAAGAAGUGACUAUGUUUUGGUUUACACUUGUGGUUCUGUCGUCAGCAGGCAUUAUAUAACAGUUUCAGUGUUUUGAAGCCACAACUGUUUUCCCGAUGAAGACUCCUGCCUGACUGCAACGGGGCUUCCCAGUCAAGAUUGAAGACAGGAUGAAGCUUUCUCUUUAUUGAUUCUAACUCUAGUCUAUGCCAUGCUAACUGUUUGUGUUCUCGCUGUGCUGUAUGGAGUCCCUUUGGCAGAGUACGUAACACCAGGAGUAAAAGCAACUGGAGUCCAACUCAACAGUAAUUCGGUGGGGAUGGGUUGCUAGUGCACAGAAGGUACUUUUACCUGUCCUGCUGGACAGGAAUAUUCUGUUAAUUUGACUUACGAAGGAAAUCGAACUAUUUGGAGGGUGAGGAGGGGACAUUUGUAUGUCCAUCUACUGGAUGAUGGACCAACUACGGUAACAAUCCGAAAUUACACGGACAUAAAAUGUUGCAAUUGUAAAUAUGAACAGACAUAUCAAGAAAAUUAUUACUUUUGUCAGAAUGGAACUGAUGUUUAUAAUGAAUCAAUUGACAUGCGGAACAUUACUGUAUUGUUUUGUAUGAAUGUAACUCGAAUCAUAACUAGAAAGGCAUGGGCUUCACAAAUGACUGUAUUGAAUAACAAUCCCAAAGCUCAUUUUAACCAAAUAAUUAAAGUAUCUUCUACAUGUAGAUAUGUAGGACAGGAAUAUCAAAAGACUGUUACAUUUUAAUAUUACUUUUCCAAAAUUAGGUAAGUGCAAGCAGAAAUGAGCAUGGUAUAGUACCUUUAUUAGGAGGUAUUAGUACAGGGUUAUGAACCUUGAAUGCAAUUGAUGUUGAAGUUUUAGCUAAUAAAAUUAAAUCUGUGGGUCAGGAUAUUUCACAAAUUAUACAUUUACAUGCUCAGUGGAAUCCUACAGUUUAGCACACACAAAAACAGCUUGUUAGUUAAGAGAGAGAAUUUUUAGAUCAAUUUAAUGCUUAUGUGGUUUCCAAUUUGAAACUUGAUGCAAAUGUCACUAGGUUUGUAAAUUGGACAACGUACCUUACAGUCUUUUUAUGUUUCAAUGCAGAAAAAUCUUGUACAGACCAAAUUAAUGCUUAAGAAUGAACAUGUCUGGAGACAACUGUUUAACCAAUGGAUACCUAGUACAAAUUGGAUAAGGCUGUUUUCUGAAAAAACAAAAUACAACUUUUGUACAGGUUAUAUUAUGCAUUAUAAUGUCACAGAUGAAAAAAUGUGUCAACUUGUAACCUUUCCACUGGUAUUUGUACCUCCGUCAUAUCCAUUCCAAUAUUGGUUACCCCAUUUAGAAGGGAACUACAUUGACUUCUCAAACAGAACACACAAAUUAGAACAUUGUACUGAAACAAUGGAUGGACUCAUCUGUGGACAACAGUCCCCUAUAUAUGAACCAUGUUUACUUCAGCAUUCCAUCAACAUCUGUAAAUGGACUAUAUGACCUCCUACUUUUGAGAUGUUCAUAGAGUUAGCACCACAGUUUACAUGUUUACUGACAAAUCAAACGCUGUCAUAUGCCUUGAGGAAUCCUUUUGUAGGUUGCCUAGGUAAUGUAACUCAUUUGAACAGGCAUAAUGAAACUUGUAUCUUUUCUCCUGAAACAUAUAUUAAUGUAUUUCAUGCCUGGUCACCAGACAAGCUGGAGUAUCAUAACGUGACUUUCAACCUCAAUUCUUUACAGAAAGUAUUGAACAAUACGCAACAUCUUGAAAAACAUUUACAGGCAAUAAAUCAUAGUAUUUUACAUCAUGAAAUGACAAGUAUUAUUAUAGGGAAUAAGCUGGUUAGUUUAGCCAAGAAAACAGAGUCUGAUACAGCACAUAAUUGGUGGGAUAUAUAUACCGGAUUUCAGCAUCCGGCACCAAGUUGUUGAAUUGGUUAAUACAUCCAAUAUUAGUUCUACUGAUUGCUUUGAUUUUUAUUGACAUUGUCGAUUAACUUAUUGUGUUUAUAAAAAGGCAGUUACGGUCUUGAAUGUCUGAUAUAAGUGAGUCAAUAGUCAAGGGGCCGAAUGUGAUACAAAAGAGGAGUACAGUGAGUGAGUGAGUGUGAUUAUUUGAUUUUUGCCUCACUAUAUCUCAACAUUCUCUUUAUUUUCUUUAUUUCUUCCCUGACAUAUGAAGUAAUGCUAUAUUCUGAAAGUGUCAGCAGGCAUGAGGGAUGAUGCUGUGUUCCAAAACAGUUUAGUGAUUUCAGCAAAGUCAAUACAUUUGAUUACAAAAUAUGUCUUACAUUUGAUUGCGAAAUAUGUCUUUUAUGUGUGUGUGUGCUGGGAUAUGCCAGUAAAGUACUAAAACUUGCAAAGUCAUGGGAAUAUUCCAGUGUAACACUUGAAAAUUGCAAAAUCAUUGUCUAUGUCAGGAAUUGCUGUUGCUUUUGGGGUGGGUGGCCAACACCACAGAAUGAUCUAGCUCCAGCCUACACUUCAAAAGUACUGAUUCUCAUUACUUGUG
This is a long non-coding RNA of Protopterus annectens (West African lungfish), 2549 nucleotides long. RefSeq lists it as uncharacterized. The record is from RefSeq and is a predicted model, not a curated record. Lineage: Eukaryota; Metazoa; Chordata; Ceratodontiformes; Protopteridae. The transcript has 3 exons.